GGGCUAAAACCCAUAGGAUGGUCCAUGGAUGCUCCAUGGUGUAUUUGUACCCAUGGAUCAUGGAAAUGAAAGGCCAUGUCAAUUAGGGUUUACAUGGUGUAACCCUAACUAUAUAAGCAUCUUAUUCUUGACCAAAAUUGGCCACUAGUGUGUGAAAUGAAAGGGCUAGCCGAUUUCAUGAGUUGUAGAAUUCUCUCAAGUUAUUCUAAGUGUUUUGGUGAUUGUGAUUCCAUUUGAGGCUUCCACACUAUUGGGGCUAGGCACUCAAGCUUCAUGAAGACUUUCUACAUCAAAGAGGUAUGUAUUCUAUCUUGUUACACUCAUUGUUUUGGUAUGCUAGAUUAGGAUAAUACCUUGGAUGUUCUUAUUUGCAUGUAUAAUAGAGAAAACAUAGAUCCAAGGUAUUUAGGGUUGCAUGUACACUUAGGAGUGUUAGAAUGCUCAAAACCCAACAGUGGUAUCAGAGCCUAGGCUUGUUUUCUUGUUAUACCUGCAAUAGAAGCUGAAAAAACGAAUUUGGUGCUGUCUGAUCAUCAGACUCGGCGAGUCCAUCAGAAGACUCGGCGAGUCCAUGCCUAAAAUGUGAUCAAUUCGAUCCAACUCGCCGAGUUGGUUCAUGCACUCGACGAGUUGGACCCCCAGACAGCAUAUUUUCGAGUUUUUUUGGCUAGAAAUGGACUAGGAACAUUACCCUAAGUUGUUUUUGAACUUAUAAACUUGUUUUUGAUGUGGUAAUGUUCAUGCUAAUCCAUUUUCAAAGAUAAUUGUCAAUAGAUUCAUGUUUUGUAUUAGUUUAAGGUUUAGACUAAUUACAUGAAAAAGUUUGAUUUGAAUUAUCUUGUUCUUAUGAGUUGCUUAGAUUAAUAGAAAUGUUAAUUGAAAUAGUUGUUUUCAAUCCAUUUUAAUCUAAGAGUUGAGUAUAAAAUGUGUUUGUGUAACUUGUCCUCAAGUUACAUGAAGAGUCACAUUAAAGACUCAUAAAACUCAUAAAAGUUGGCAAUGGUUACAAAAUGAAGAGUCUUGUGUCAUUGAAUAAUUUUUUUUGACUCCAUAACUUGUCCUCAAGUUAUGGAAGUUCAAGAGUCACUUCAUUAAAGAAAAAUAUGUAACCAUAAUUAAAUCCAUAAGUUAUAAAAUAAAGAAAAAGUUAGUUCUUUUAUUAGUUUAAAGUCUUCCAUAACUUGUCCUCAAGUUAUGGAACUUGAAGAGUUUUUGGAUUAAAACUACUUUAAACACAUAAGUUAUGGAAUUAAUUAGUUUUGAAUAGUUUCAAAACUUGCCCUCAAGUUUUGGAAUUUGAAAAGUUUUCACUUAUGAAUACUUUAAUUCCAAGUUAGCCCUUAGAAUUUUAAAAGUUAAAAUUCAACCCUUAUACUUUAUAAUAUUAUAAGUUAAUAAUAUAUAUAUGUAUAAGAGUAAAGUCAGUCUUACCGCUAGUACGCCUCAUUCACGAAGCCGGUCUAUAAGGUGGGUAUAAGGUUGUUGCCUAUAAAAUGGCAACUUAAUGGGUGUCCACUCUCACCCACCGCUUGCUUGACUGGUGGAGGGUCGUUAGCCGAACGGGUUUGACAGGACUAGAAUUCUCCCUUCAUUAAAAGUAUUAAUGAUAAUACUAAGUAACUAAACUCUUAAUAAUACCCAAUCUUAGUUACUUAGGAAAAAUGUGAAUAAGGUGCUAAUCCAUGAAAUUACACUUUACACUUUGUCUAAGUCGUUAGUGGAGCGUGUGUGGUUAACCGGCACACUAACUUGGACUUAACAAGGUAGGUAAAGGGUGACUUAAUAUUUAUCAUAGUAUCGAUGGAGCGUGUGUGGUUAACCGGCACAUCGAUUGAGGGGUAAUUUAUUAAGGGUACCAAGUGAUUUGCAUGGUUACUUCACACCUUGUUUUGUGAUCCUCGGCAUCCCAGUCACAAAACCUGAAGGGCACACUCGAGAUUGAAACAUGCCUUUGAAAAGUUCAAUGAAUCUCAAAGAUCUAGGAGUUUCAAAACCAAUUAAAACCUAAUAAUACAUUUCGUUUAUCUUGGUGGAAAUUGGUGAAUCGUCAUUCACCUACCUUCAAAUAUUUUAUAGCUUGGAUUACGGCAUACCUCUUCUAAGUUAUAAAAUAGUUUGUUGGGUCCUAGCCUUAAUAUUUCAUAUUGGGUGUCAUAUUAAGGACUUUAAAUCAACUAUCUUGAAUAUCUCCCAAAAGAUGUCUGGUUUAGACACCUAUGAUCUUCCCAAAUCUCUUGAAACAAGGUUUCCUAAUGAAGAUGAUGUCCCAUGGAUAUCAUACUUCUUCACCUCUUCAAAUUAUUCUCCCUAACCCACAAGUUCUUGAAAAGUUUAAGGUCACUCAGGCCCUAUUGGCAAGGCAAGGUCUAGGUGUGGUCACAUCUUGGAGAUGUAGUCACAUAUUGACAAGCCGGGAGAGUUGGGUGUCAAAGUCUUGAGAAAGUUGGUGGUUCAACCACUUUCUAAGUCACAUAGUGAGUUCCUUUGGGACACCUAUGAAACAGACUAUGACAAGACCCUUAAUGAUCUUAUCUAUUUGCUAAGAUCAACUUCCUAAAACUUUAUGGACAUUGACAAUGAUGACAUUGGAUAUCCAGUAAAGCAUUCUCUUCCCAAUGGAAAGGGAUCGGCCAUAGUCAACUCGGUUGACCAAAUGGUAAAGAGAAAAGCUAAGUCUGUGAUAGUCUCGUGUACCAUUAUCAAAGGGUCCAUAUGUUUAUAUUGCCAAAGGAAGGGGCAUUGGUUGCGAAGCUGCCAAAUUUACCUAAGGAUGUUAAAGUCAAUAAGUUUGACUCUACUUCAGGUAAAGUCCACUAUCUAACUCUGUUAAGUUUCUAUUCUGAGAUUCUUGAUACAUGAUGUGACUGGGUCACAUGGUGAUGUUUUAAGAAUCAAAGAAAAGUGAAGAAACUUAAAGAAAGAAUAUGCUGAAUCUGAUGGCGUAGAUGGAUUUCUAUCGCAUAGUUUGAAGAUCGGAUUCUUGAGCUACUUCUUAGGAGUUAUGAGAUAUUGCUUAGGAAUAGAUAACAACAAGUUUUCAUAUGGAUUGUAAGGAUAAGUUUUUCCGCAAAGUUUUAAAAUAAAAGAAAAUUUUUUUUUUUUUUUAUUUUAAAAUAUCCUUACAAUGGCAUUUGAGGAAAAAUUGUUGCUUAUAUGAUUCCAUUAAGAGCAAGAGUGGAAAUAUGAAAUUGAUUCUUUCAUUUGUGGUAAUGUCUAAAUUUACCAAAUAAGGAAAGAUUCUCAUCACCCAAGUUUCAAUUGGACCGGAACUUGGAAUCAUGCAAGUUGUAUAGCAUGAUGAAUGAGAACUUUCAAGUUUUGGAAAAUUAAGACUAAUUACUUGUUCACAUGGAUGUGUGAGUCAAGUAAAGGACUUAGGGAUCGAGUACACAUUCUUGUGCACUGAUUAAGUCCACCACUAAAGAUCGAUAAGAAGAAUCAAAUAAGGCAGAAGGAUAAAAGUUUCUCAAAUCUGAAAAGAUGGGAGAGUACUUUAGUAUCAGUUUUGUGAUCAUCUUAAUGAUUAAGAAACCAUAUCAAAAUUAGUUCUCUAAGGAAAUCUUAGUGCAUUCUUAUGACUAAGAAGAGGAACUUGAAUUGUUGAAAUGGUUAAAUCAAGAAGAUGAGUCAUACUUCGUUCCAAUACAAGUCUUAGAGUCAUACUCCAAGAUUGUCAUUUGAGUGACAUGUCUUAAAGAAGGUUUAAAACACUUGUCAAAUGUAAGAGUAAAAGUUUUCUACUCUUGUACAUUUGAAAUUGGUAAGUUGUGAUGUUUUGGAUAAAACAAAGACCAACUUAGGCCAAUUGGGUAAAGUGUUUUUCUUGAUUAGAAUCCGCACUAUCUCUUGGAUGUUUGACAAGGGAGUCUUAUAUGUCAAGAGGACAGUGGGAGUCUUAAAGGUCUUGAAAGUCUCAAGAAAUAAUCAAGAAUAAAACCUAAAGUUCUUCACUAGCACACGACUUGAGGUUUAUAACCUAUCGUGUUGACAUAUCUGUGCCCAUUCCAGUUAAAGUUGGCUUUGCAUAUGAGUUCUUAGAGUUCUCAGUUUGUUGCAUAACAACUUGGAAGCAAUGGCAGGCCCUUGAGCUGCCAGGUGGCAAGAAGUUAAGAUUGAGUUCAAUCCAUAUGGUUUUGGAUUUGUCAUUAUCUUUGUCUUGUGAUUAUGGUUUGACAAAUUCAUAUGGGUAGGAACUCAUACACCAUAUAAAUCUAAGUGUCAUAAGGUUUCUCUCCGAUUCAUGAAAAUGAUGGUGAGGAAACGCUUUCACUAAGUAGAUUUUACGAAGAUAUCAAUUGUGUUAUUUGCAUUUUCAAAAGUCGUUAGUGGAGCGCGUGUGGUUAACCGGCACACUAACAUGGACUUGUGAGAAAUGGCAAAUGCCUAAGCAAUUGAGACCAUGAUUACGGUAUCCCUUUUCAUGGUUCUUGAAAUUGCUUAGACACACAGGUGAGCUAUCUACGGAAAGGGUGUAUGAAUCUAAAUUUCAGACUGUCCAGCUGAUUUCUGAGUACAUGUCAAAGCUAGUGGGAGCAUAAGUGUUAUGCUAAUAAUCAUCAUGUUAGUGGGAGCAUGAUAAUUAUGAUAAGUAUUGCAAGUUAGCAAUGUUAAUUAUAGAAAACAAAAGUUUCAAUUGGGAAAAAGUUGUUUUGCUAUAAUUAAGGGAGAGGAAAUUAUGCUUCAUCUCAAAUCUAUAAGCUUAGAUCGUGAGGUUUUAAUCAUUUAGUCAAGGAUAUAUAUGAAUUUCAUGUUGGAAUGGCUCAACAUAAGGAAAUUCUGUAUAUGGGUCCAUUAUUUGCGUUCUAAAAUUCGAUUAUGAUUACGGCAUCCCUUUUCAUAAUCUGAAUUAUGAGAACUUGGCAAAUUGAAAUGGAAAUAUUAUAGCAAAAGACUGGUUUAGUCUUUAUGUAAGACAUCAUGAAUCGUGUCCCAUAUGCUUCGGAUAUAGGAUCGAUUACAUGUGCUAUAUUCAUCCGUUCUAAAAUUUUCCAAAUGCCUGGGGCAUUAAGAAGGGAAAAGGUUUAGAACUGGAUAUGACUAAAAGGAUUAAACAAUUGUCGAGGACAAUCUAAGGUUUACCAAAGAUUGGUUACUCAAGGACAAUUGGAAGUAUAGUGAUAAUUCUGGAAGGACCAUAUUGACAUAAUCUGUAAGGAGGCAACUCUUGUUCAGAAGUGAUAGUCAAAAUGGAAUCUGGAAAUGUUUCAAAGUUAGAAUUUUCAAUCUGUGUAAGAUUAAGGAAACUUAAUGCAAGAAGGAUAUUUCCAAGGAGUUGAUCUCCUUUGGAAUACUCUGUAAUGAUUGUUGCCAAGUCUUUGUGACUUUGUGCAUAAUCAUUACAAGAGGAUCAAUGCAUAUAAGUUUAGAAUCUAACAGAUUUCAGUAAAUGGCAUGAAUUUGGAAUUCUUGCAUUUGCAGUAAGGAUUUGGGAGUGUGAAAAGAGAAUCAUUGAAGUUAUGUUCAAUUGAUCUAGUUCACAAAGUAAAGAUCAUAGACAAACAUAGUAUGCAUACUUGGUGUGUGGCAUGACUAGUGUUUAAGAAAACAUAGUGUACAUGCUUGGAGCAUGGGACAACUAUUGUUUUAAAUUCAAGAAUAAAGUUGAUAGCUGAAACAGUAUACAAUGAAUAAUGUGUAAUCAUAUGGUGAUAAAUAAAAGGUGUUUUAUUUAUGUUCAAAGGGUUGAUACCAUAUUGGAUUCAAUUAUUAUUGUGUUUCAUUUUGCAUGUUUUGACUUCCCGAAUAAACUGGGUUAUUCUUCCGGAAUGACUAAGUUAUUCAAACCAUCCACAGUCGGUCAUAUGUUGGAAGUAGAUAUGAAUUAAGACUGUCAUGGGUUGGCUUGUAGAGGUCUAAGGUGUUGGACAAAGGGCUACAACACUCAUGAGUGCUCAUAAGUUCUGAGUAUUGGAUUCAACCCGCGCUCAUUGGAAUCACUUCAUGGAUUUUAUCACGAGUGAUCAUGAGACGAUAAUAUCUUAUAUUCUUCAAACCUAGAGAUAUGAGUUGUUACUAUGAGUUGAUAGUACAUUGAUUGCACGAAAACGCAUUUGGUAACUCGGUGCUAUAAAACGUGCCUUUGUGUAUGAUUCAACAAGUAGUAGAACAAGCCAUAUGAGUCGAAGUUUAUCCGUUCCUUUUACCUUCGGGAUAAAAGCGAUAUCUGUGGGCCCCUCGAUGAUUUGAUGAUGACAAAUGGAAGUGCUCGGCCGGGCCAGGACUGAUUUGAUUUGUUCAAUUAGUCAGUCGUCAUAAAUCGGAAAUCGGGAAACAACAAAUGGACAGAGAGAAUGAUUAUAAUCCAUGUCUCAGUCCAUAUGAUAUCUAGAAUGGAGGAAUAUAUGAUCCCUUAUCUAAUGGACAAGUCAUUGACAAAGGUCAGAGUUCAUCUACAAGGUCAGAGUUCGACAGAAGCUUUUGAGAGCUACGAUUGCCAGUUGGUUCCUGAAGUCAUACGCAAUAAUAGUUUUAGACUUAUCCAAGUGGGAGACUGUUGGAUUAAUGUCUAAGUCCAUAACUAUAAUUGGUAAGACUUGACCCGACCCGGCAUGGUCCAUUUGGGUUGCAAACCUUCAUGCACUUAGAUAGACUAUAAUGAGAGAAAUAAGACACUUAUGGUUAUUAAUAUAUUAUAAGUUCUAGUAUAUUAAUAAUAAGAAUAAUAAGAUUAUUUAAUUAGUGUUGAUCAAGAAUUAAUCUAGGAUUAAUUAAGUGAUCAAAAGAAGACUAAUUAAAUAUAUGGGUUGAUUGUGUAAAUCAUCCAUACUUGUAUAGUGGGCUAAUGCUCCAUGGAUAAUCAAGUUGGGCUAAAACCCAUAGGAUGGUCCAUGGAUGCUCCAUGGUGUAUUUGUACCCAUGGAUCCAAGGAAAUGGAAAGCCAUGACAAUUAAGAGUUUACCCUAAUUGUGUAACUAUAUAAGCAUCUUAUUAUUGAGGAAAAAUCGGCCACUAGUGAUAGUGAAGAAAGGGCUAGCCGAUUUUGAAGAGUGUAGAAUUCUCUCAAAUCAUUCCAAGUGUUUUGAUGAUUGUGAUUCCAUUUGAGGUGUCACACUUGGGGCACUAGGCACUCAAGCUUCAUGAAGACUUUCUACAUCAAAGAGGUAUGUAUUCUAUCUUGUUACACUCAUUGUUUUUGUAUGCUAGAUUAGGAUAAUACCUUGGAUGUUCUUAUUUGUAUGUAUAAUAGAGAAAACAUAGAUCCAAGGUAUUUAGGGUUGCAUGUACACUUAGGAGUGUUAGAAUGCUCGAAACCCAACAAUAUCUUCCUAGUGUAUUUUUAGUAUGGUGACUAC
This 7292-nucleotide long non-coding RNA is filed under the name Lactuca sativa (garden lettuce). RNAcentral's name for it is "long non-coding RNA (LSAT_LNC006114)". The record is from RNAcentral. Lineage: Eukaryota; Viridiplantae; Streptophyta; Magnoliopsida; Asterales; Asteraceae.